RNAcentral lists this long non-coding RNA (1334 nucleotides) under Calidris pugnax (ruff). Its description in RNAcentral is "lncRNA (ENSCPUG00000004001.1)". Lineage: Eukaryota; Metazoa; Chordata; Aves; Charadriiformes; Scolopacidae. The record is from RNAcentral.
CCCUCCGCUCCUUGGCGCCCGACCCCGCCAGCACACACCGGCUCCUCCGGGCGGUACAGCCCCCGCCCCGGGGCGCUCCCCGAGGCCCAGGCACACGCUCGGCGGAGGAGCAGAGGUUUGUAAAGGCGGGCCGGGGCAGAGCCGGGGGCUGAGCGGUCUGGUAGAGGGCAGCUCGGCGGGAUGGGACGGGAGGGGACGGGGCCGGCACCUGGGGAGCUGCCCCCGCCCCGCUCCGCGCAGAGGCCGGGCCGGGAGGUUGCCGUGUGUCGGGUGGGCGCCGAAUCCAAUUUGUCGGGAAUGAUGCUGUAGGCGGAGAUGAGAGGCAGAGCUAACGGGGCUUUUGCAGCCCCAGCGCUCGUCAGGGCAGAGAGAUGUAACGGCGCCCUAAUCCCCAGCUCUGCAGCGGGAAUGUCGGUGCCCCCGCUGGCGGCAGGGACGGGUGUCCCCCUCUGCAGAACGAAGGCGCCCGGGAAUUUCGCUGGACACCGACGAACGACUCCUCCCCUUCUCCCGCCCCGAAGCAGACGGUUCCUGUAAGAUGCAUCAUUAUAUUGUGCAGUGUAAAGGACAGGGAAGGAAACUACAAUUUUUUUUCUCCGUAGAGCUGAAAUUCAAAGCGGUAAGCUAAUGCUUUUUUUCAUAAUUCCAAUGCCCCUUGCACAUGGCUUGAAAUAUUUCAGAUGUACUCUGAAAAUAACAAAUUUUUAGGUAAUUUUAUAUUCUCAUCUUUCACAAAGAGACAAGUCAGUUUUCUGGAAUAUAAAGUUCUUUAGUCUCCUAGGGGCAAAAAGGCAAUUCAAGCUUCUCGGAGCAACUUCAAGAGCCGUGAUAGCAACCAGUGUUAUUAGAGCAUCUUAGUUUUUCAGAAGCUCAUCAACUGUAAUGACCCUGAUAGCCUGGAUUUGGAUUCAGAGGAUGUUGACACAACCUUAUCAACACGGACACAUCUCCAUCUUCACUUACAAUGUCCCAGGGACACAUAAUUUAAGAACAUUAUAAUGCACAAAUGCUGCUGUUACAAAGACAAAGAACAGCGGGGGAGAUUUAUUUCCUCACAACAGUACCAUUGAUAAGGAAGAAAGAUGUGCAAGUGUUCAGAAAAGUUGUGGACAUGGAACGAUUAAAACUAACAGAAAAAUAUUCCAGUGGAUAGAGUCAAAAAGCAGUUCUUUAAUUUUUAAAUUUGCACAGCAAUAACUGAGACAAAUGAGCCUCUGAAAUAUUUUGGAAAAUGUCACUUUGCAAACCUUGUAGAUUGCUUAAAUGUUUAUUAAAAUGGACCAAAAGCCAAAAUUCUCUGGGUAAAAUAAAUACUUUGUCUUUGCUAAGUAACA